RNAcentral lists this ribosomal RNA (363 nucleotides) under uncultured organism. Its description in RNAcentral is "bacterial SSU rRNA". It matches the Rfam family "Bacterial small subunit ribosomal RNA", at positions 526 to 896 of the family's 1533-position model. The record is from RNAcentral.
CGGAGGAUCCAAGCGUUAUCCGGAAUCAUUGGGUUUAAAGGGUCCGUAGGCGGUUUUGUAAGUCAGUGGUGAAAGCCCAUCGCUCAACGGUGGAACGGCCAUUGAUACUGCAAGACUUGAAUUAUUAGGAAGUAACUAGAAUAUGUAGUGUAGCGGUGAAAUGCUUAGAUAUUACAUGGAAUACCAAUUGCGAAGGCAGGUUACUACUAAUAUAUUGACGCUGAUGGACGAAAGCGUGGGGAGCGAACAGGAUUAGAUACCCUGGUAGUCCACGCCGUAAACGAUGGAUACUAGCUGUUCGGAGCAAUCUGAGUGGCUAAGCGAAAGUGAUAAGUAUCCCACUGGGGAUACGUUCGCAAGAUG